UUGGGCCGAGGUCGACGACGGGGUCGACCUCUCCGUGGAGACAGCCAAGGCGGCCGUGAGCCACGCCGCCACGAGCCACCACGAGCACGGCGGCGAGCUCAGCGAUCUGGAGUCGGAUCUGGUGGGGCGGCAGAAGACUGGCUGCUCGUCGUCGCCGGCGGCAACAACGCCGGCUGCAGAGCUGAUCGUGCCGCCAGCACAGCAGAUCUAGCAAUUCCAGGUGAAGAGAAGAGAGCCGAUUUGUGCUUGCUAAUCACUGGCGGAGACCUACAGUGCUACUUGCAUGUGUGCGUUGCGUGCAGAUCCAGCAAUUCCAGGAUUUUUGCCACACCAUGUGUGCGUUGCGUGCUUCGAAUGGAUUGAAAUCCAAAUCCAUUUCGUCUUGCCACUGCACUACACCUGCACGCCUGCACCUGCACGCCCGGCCGAGCUCUUGACCGGUGGUACAAAAGGGUUUUUCAUCAACAAGUGGUCACCAAAAGAAGAACUGAAACAUCAAGAUGGUGUUUGCUUCUACAUUUUACCAUUGAGGAUAUGAUGCUAAACUGAAGUCAUGUAUUAUGCUAUGCAUUCAGAAGAUGAUGCUAAACUGAAUAAGCACAUCAAUCUGAUUUUUCUAUGCACUGAGACUAUGUUUGUAUUAUUGUUAUGCAAUGCAA
This 659-nucleotide unclassified non-coding RNA is filed under the name Zea mays. Its description in RNAcentral is "misc RNA Zm00001eb343190". Lineage: Eukaryota; Viridiplantae; Streptophyta; Magnoliopsida; Poales; Poaceae. The record is from RNAcentral.